This is a non-coding RNA of Pelobates cultripes (western spadefoot toad), 297 nucleotides long. The record is from the annotation of a GenBank genome assembly. Lineage: Eukaryota; Metazoa; Chordata; Amphibia; Anura; Pelobatidae.
AUUACACUUGCAGGGUUAAGGGUGAUGGGAGUUGGCACCCAGACCACUUCAAUGAGCUGAAGUGGUCUGGGUGCCUCCAGUGUCCCUUUAACCCCUUAAGGACACAUGACAUGUGUGACGUCAUGAUUCCCUUUUAUUCCAGAAGUUUGGUCCUUAAGGGGUUAAAUGGCUACAUACAGAGAACUAACAUUUUUCUUUUUUUAAAUCUGCUAGUCACUUGCAUUACAUUUUCACUUUAAUAAUGACAUCCAAAUCACCAAAAUCAAAGCAGGGAUUAAAUUACUGUUCACUGGUCUA